UAGCACAAUAGUGAAAAGUUGGGAGGUACCUGAAUACGUAGCCUAACCUUCCCCGUUGGACGGUUACCACGGUGGGUUUCAUGACUGGGGUGAAGUCUUAACAAGGUAACCAA
Molecule: ribosomal RNA, 113 nt
Filed under: uncultured bacterium
Lineage: Bacteria
Description: partial 16S ribosomal RNA
Source: RNAcentral